RNAcentral lists this ribosomal RNA (449 nucleotides) under Cyclidia substigmaria substigmaria. RNAcentral describes it as "partial 28S ribosomal RNA". Lineage: Eukaryota; Metazoa; Arthropoda; Insecta; Lepidoptera; Drepanidae. The record is from RNAcentral.
CCGUUCAGGGGUAAACCUGCGAAACUCGAAUGAACGAACGGGGAGAUUCAUCGUCACUCCGCGGCGUACGUGCGCGCGCCUCGAUGUCGUCCGAUCUCGGUCGUGCGACACGACGCGCGUACGUCGACGUCCGCGGACGGCGUGCACUUCUCCCUCAGUAAUACAUCGCGACCCGUUCGAUGUCGGUCUAAGCGCAGUUCGGGAGCCCCGUCGUGCCUCUCAACGGGGGCGCGGUGGGACCGCGACUGUCGCCGACCGGCCGUCGGACGGUAUAGUUUGACGAAUCGCGCACGCGUUUACGGCGCGUCCGGCCCGACGCAAGGCAACGUCGUAUCCCGUGUCCUGCCACAGCGCGGACUCGGGUGCGGCGCGCCUGUCGUCGCUGCCGUGCAGUCUCGGACAUCAAGUGCGCGUCUCUGUCUGCGAUGAUUCAGUUUCGGGCACUCGCA